UUGGCAAAACGGAGGAAGGUGGGGAUGACGUCAAAUCAUCAUGCCCCUUACGUUCAGGGCUACACACGUACUACAAUGGCGCAGACAAAGGGAAGCAAUGCCGCGAGGCGGAGCAAAACCCAUAAAAGGCGUCCCAGUUCAGACUGCAGGCUGCAACUCGCCUGCACGAAGUUGGAAUUGCUAGUAAUCGCGGAUCAGCAUGCCGCGGUGAAUACGUUCCCGGGCUUUGUACACACCGCCCGUCAAACCAUGAGAGUUGGCAACACCCGAAGCUCAUAGUCUAACCGCAAGGAGGACGUGAUCGAAGGUGGGGCUAGUGAUUGGGGUU
RNAcentral lists this ribosomal RNA (328 nucleotides) under uncultured bacterium. Its description in RNAcentral is "bacterial SSU rRNA". It matches the Rfam family "Bacterial small subunit ribosomal RNA", at positions 1155 to 1482 of the family's 1533-position model. The record is from RNAcentral.